CGGUGGAGAAUCAUAGGGAUUGUGGAAAGGUGAUGGUGCAUGAUGAGGAGGCAUAUGUAGAGGAAACGCAGGAGGUGGCUGCUGUUGAUGCUGAAGUUGAGGAGGCAGUGUAUGUGGAUGGAGUUGUGGUUGCUGAAUGGGGCGAGGGUAAGGGAACUGUUGAAGAGAAGAAUGUGGAGGCAGAAAUGGAGGACCAUGAACUGAACGAGGAAAUUGUUGAUGCUGGGGAUGAAAACCAAACUGUUGUUGCUGUUGCAUGCUAGCUGCUUGGUGCUGCUGCUGAGAAAAAGCCAUAGCAGCAUAAUCAUGAGCUUGUCGAUCCAUCACCACUAAAGAGAAUAGCAGGACAUGAAUGCAGGAGCAGUUUGAAACACUCUAAUAACCUGUACAAAAUAACAUACAAAUAAAUGGCCUGCAUUCCAGUUUUGGGCAAACCUUAAGAAAAUAAUCUUGUGCAAUACGAACAAAAAAUGAGCAUUUACUACCUCUAACUAAGUUAACAGGUAUCCGCCAAAGUUUUAGUACCAAAAAACAGCCUUAGCGAUGAGUAGCCAUGAGCACUACACCUUAGAGACUGCUGUUGCACUAGUCCUGAGACUGUUUUUAUGUCUACCUAUUUCUCUUCGAGUUCAGCCAUUCUUGAUUGCAUAAUGCUUCAGUAUCUACAUCAGAAUUUAAAAGAGAACAGAGUCUGCGCACUGAUGAGUAAAUAUUUAAGCACAAUAAGAGAGGGAAACUAUCCGGAGCCGAGGCUCUAUUGGAAACAACCUCUCUAUCCUCACAAGGUAGCGGUAAGGUCUGCGUACACACUACCCUUCCCAGACCCCACGGUGUGGGAUAAUACUGGGUAUGUUGUUUAUGUUGUUGUUGUUGUAAGAGGGAAAAUAACUAAGUUCCGUGGACUCUUCAUUUGUUGUGCUGCAUCCGUGUCGACACCACUUCAACACUAGUAUGGGUGUGCAAUACGUACCGGAUUUGGUCAAUUAACAUUGGGUAUUUUGACCACAAAUUACAGGGAAAUUAAAAAUAAGAUUUGGCAUUGAUUUUUCUUUUUGACAAAGGUAACAUUAAUGUGUUAAAAAGCCCAGCACAAGGUUGUACUAGUAACCAUUUACAGAUUCCAAAAGAAGCAAAAACGUAUCCUUGUUCUUCUUACAAGGAUUCUAUAACGUCUAAAAUGGAUUCUUCAUCAUUCAAAUAAGAUUUGGCAUCGAUUUCUCAAGACAAAAGCUACUAUAGAUUUCUAGAUAGCAACCUAAUAAAAGAUUGAGUUACUACACUCUACAAGCUACAUGUAAGUUUUCCACAAGAUAUCUCAUAAUUUAGGCAUAUUAUUAUAGAUCUAUUUUUAGAUAUAGACGAAUUCCCACACCGGUAUUCAUACCUGAAUUCGUAUCUCCGAAUCGUAAAAUUUAGACCAUGAAGGAUCCGGCCUCUAGAUUUGCACCCGUAUCGGAUACCCGCACGUGUAUCCGACCAAAUUAGGAAUAAUGCAGGAGAAAGUUUAUCAGCAGAACAGCAAGUCCAACAAUAGCUUCAUGCCCGAUUAACAGAAAAUAAAAAUCCAUGCACAAAUCAAGCACAGAGAUCCUGUUAGAAACAAUCCAAAGUACUACAGAAAGCAAGUGAAACUGAGUGAAACUGACACCACAGCAGUUCCUGACUGCAUGUGUAAGAACCAGCCCAGCAGAAAGGAACAUGAAGCUUAUCAGAGGGAUACAUUGUGGAAUAUUCAUAAAUAAGAAUAAGGAAUGAAAGGGUAAAAUCCAACUAGAUCGGAAGUUUUACCAACAAUUAAAAAGGCGAACAAACAAGCUUCUCAUCCUUUCUCUCAAAAAGAUUAUUAUUAAUUUUUAUUAUUUUUUGGCUUCUCUCUGUCAAAACAAAAAAAAAUCCCAUCCUUAUGGUGCACAGGUGCAGUGAUACCCUAGUGUGGAACCUUUGAUAAGCAAUUUAUAACACCUAAACAGCCACUACUGACAGAUUCAUUCUCCCAUGCUUAUGCCUAUUUUUAUGGCACCAUCAUCUUCAACCAUCUUUUACUGGCCAGGAUUAGUCCUCAAGGUGACAGAUUCUAGAAAACCAACUUGCCACUUCACAACUUAUGCAAUCGUCCCAUGCCAACGGUCAGGAAGUUCAUAAACAUGGCUGGAAGGUGUAAAAAUAAGGUUUGACAUCGGAAGAAUGCAUCUGCACUAGUAAAUGACCAGGAAACCAAAGUAUUAGCAAAUACAACAGUCCCAUCGCUCUAGACUUGGAUGUUUGAAAAACUUUGUAUUAUUACCCCUCCACAUUUUAAAACAUUGUUGUCCAAUCAACUUGUCAAUGUAAUUAAACCUCCGAAGCAUGUUUGAAGAACUUUGUAUUCUUACCCCCGUUUGAACCAUAAGCAUAAUGGUACUCUCUCUGUGGUUCCUCCAUCACUCCCCAACCAUAGGCACUUUAACUUCUACCUAUAACAGAGCUCUUUAUACUUAUCUACGUCAUGGAACUACAUUUCUAAACCUACUUUUCAAGAAAGUUCCUCAAUUGAUAUGCUCUAUACUUAGACUUGGAUGUCCCAUCAACCAAUUCACCAGGUACCUGCUACCUAUGUUGCACGGACUCUUCAAAAUGGUGUCGUACCAAUGUCAGAUCCUCCAAAAAUGCACUAUUUUUGGAGGAUCCGGCACGCACUCUGCAACAUUUUCGAAGAGUCCGAGCAACAUAGCCUGCUACCUCUUACCAAUACAUACAUCGAUUAAUUCUAUCUACCAAGGCUUAACCAAAUGGAAAGAAGUCACAUAGCCUUUUUUGUUACUCAUAUACUAGGUUUAUGGCUAGAAGGUAUUUUCUAAGGGUGUUUAGUGUUAGCCACAGCUCAAUGUUUAAGCAUGUUCUAGGUCUAAAUGUAUAUAACAUUAAAUUCUAGAUAGCUCAAACUGUAGGUGGCAUAAUCAUAAAUUGAAUGAACCCUCAGGGGUUGGCCUGGUGGCAAUUGACUUGAGCCUUGGGGUUUGCUCCCUUUCAAGGUCUCAAGUUCGAAACUCACUGGGUGCAAACAAUUUUUGAGGGCCAUCGGACUGGGUAAAACCUGAAUUAACCGUGGUGCACUUGCGGGAAACUCCUUUCCGAGGGCCUGUGCACCCCCGGGAAUAGUCGGGUCUCGAAGAGACUCGGACACCCGGUGCAAAAUCAAAAAAAAUAAUCAUAAAUUGAAUGGCAUUUGGUCAAAAUCCAACAACAAGCACUUCAAUAAACAGUUAAGACUAUAACUCAGCAUUUUCCUGAUGAUAUUUUCUAAGUAACCCGUGAGAGCUUUCAUCAAAUAUAACACAUUCAAGCACUGAUCCUCGGUAGCAAACGUGAAAGCUCACCUAGGUUCAGCAUCAUCCCUUGCUGUAAUAGAAGUUUGAUUCAACCCAUAAAUGGAAGUGCAAAUUUGAACUACAGAAAGUAGGAUUGAAGUCUUUUUUAUACAUUUAAAAGUAUUACAACCAAACUUACAAGUCGAUUGCGUUCGGAGAAAGAGAAUGCCGAUGAGUUCGCAGCCGAAGGAGAUUGAAUUGACGGAUGGGUCGAACACCUUUCUCGUUUUUCAGGAAAAAAUAAAUCAAUUAAAACCAAUUCUGUUGUUUUCACGUUGGAGG
Molecule: long non-coding RNA, 3629 nt
Filed under: Nicotiana tabacum (common tobacco)
Lineage: Eukaryota; Viridiplantae; Streptophyta; Magnoliopsida; Solanales; Solanaceae
Description: long non-coding RNA (NTAB_LNC003603)
Source: RNAcentral